Molecule: ribosomal RNA, 446 nt
Filed under: uncultured bacterium
Lineage: Bacteria
Description: partial 16S ribosomal RNA
Rfam family: Bacterial small subunit ribosomal RNA
Source: RNAcentral
CCUACGGGUGGCAGCAGUCGAGAAUCAUUCACAAUGGGGGAAACCCUGAUGGUGCGACGCCGCGUGGGGGAAUGAAGGUCUUCGGAUUGUAAACCCCUGUCAUGUGGGAGCAAAUUAAAAAGAUAGUACCACAAGAGGAAGAGACGGCUAACUCUGUGCCAGCAGCCGCGGUAAUACAGAGGUCUCAAGCGGUGUUCGGAAUCACUGGGCGUAAAGCGUGCGUAGGCUGUUUCGUAAGUCGUGUGUGAAAGGCGCGGGCUCAACCCGCGGACGGCACAUGAUACUGCGAGACUAGAGUAAGGGAGGGGGAACCGGAAUUCUCGGUGUAGCAGUGAAAUGCGUAGAUAUCGAGAGGAACACUCGUGGCGAAGGCGGGUUCCUGGACAUUAACUGACGCUGAGGCACGAAGGCCAGGGGAGCGAAAGGGAUUAGAUACCCGAGUAGUC